UGUAAAUUUUUUACAGAAUUUCUCUAAGGACAUAAUAAAUGGAAUACAAAGAACACAAAUCCAAUUCCUCAUUCCCUGCAAAGUUAAUGGCAACUCAACCUGGAGACCGCACACAUGAUUUGUUCAUAAUUCCUUUUCCUUUUGAAUGAGUGAGCUGAUUUAGGAAUCUGAGGACUGGGGAUGAAUCCCAUCUUUGAUACUUCCUUCUUGUGUGACCUCAGGAGGAGAAAAAGUCUGAGACCACCAAGGAAGAAAGGGGCAGCAAGAGGACAAAGGAAUAAUGAAUUUAAAGGAUGCCUUCAUACAGUGCUACCUAUCAGAAUCUUUCUCCCUUCUCUAUCUCACCUGGAAGAAUGAUAAUCCAAACAACAAUCUAAUGGAAGAAUGGACUGGAUAGACUUCUAGAUGUUUGCUGGGGAGGUGAAACAAUUUACUGUUCUAUUGCUAUAAAAAUAAACAAACAAAACAACCACA
Molecule: long non-coding RNA, 474 nt
Filed under: Monodelphis domestica (gray short-tailed opossum)
Lineage: Eukaryota; Metazoa; Chordata; Mammalia; Didelphimorphia; Didelphidae
Description: lncRNA (ENSMODG00000035028.2)
Source: RNAcentral